UUUAAAUGGAACGCAAUCUAAAUGGAAGGAUGAGGUUCCAUGAUGUCAUCAAGGGUGGAUUCAUCUGAUUGGCUGGAUUUUUCACCUUUAAUUGGAAAGGACAGUGGACAAACAGGAAAGUAUUGGGAGAAGAAAGAGGAGAAGGGUCGGCAAAGGACCUCGAGCUAGGAAUCGAACUCGGGUCGCCGUGAGGACUAUGGUGCUAUAUGUCACCAUGAGAUAAACACACUUCAUUCAGCUUGGCCAAACCCCAGCCAUUAAGCAGCAGCGGCAGGCCAUUCAUGAGCUGCUCUCACGGGCCAAACUCCUCUGAUGAAUUAACACACGGAGCAGUGAUUUCCAAAAGAGUGCAGACAGAAGGAGAGCUGCGGGACAGCAGGAGGAGACCAUAUCGCUGACAGACGGCCAGUGAAGAUCUGCACUGUCGCAUUAUUUGCUUUAAUAUCAUGUAUUAAAGUAUCAUCUGCAGCCAGCAGGACGAGUUAGACUAAAGUUUCGUAUGGUUAAAAAAGGUUUCCGA
This is a long non-coding RNA of Danio aesculapii, 520 nucleotides long. RefSeq lists it as uncharacterized. The record is from RefSeq and is a predicted model, not a curated record. The transcript has 3 exons. NCBI's taxonomy places the organism in Eukaryota, Metazoa, Chordata, Actinopteri, Cypriniformes, Danionidae.